Molecule: unclassified non-coding RNA, 168 nt
Filed under: uncultured Trichomerium
Lineage: Eukaryota; Fungi; Ascomycota; Eurotiomycetes; Chaetothyriales
Description: sequence contains ITS2
Source: RNAcentral
UCCUCUCUCAAACCUCCGGGUUUGGUGUUGGACCGCGUUGGCCGCAAGGUCCAACUGGUCUCAAAGACAAUGACGGCGUCCCAGGGACCCUCUUCGCACUGAGUUCUCCGGAGCACGCGUAGAGUUUCAAGGGCCCAGGGACCCGGUCGCCUCUAAAAACUUUUUUCA